Molecule: long non-coding RNA, 4509 nt
Organism: Gadus macrocephalus (Pacific cod)
Lineage: Eukaryota; Metazoa; Chordata; Actinopteri; Gadiformes; Gadidae
Exons: 2
Source: RefSeq, a predicted model, not a curated record
CAUGGUAACAUCUGUGAUGGAAAAUCUACAUGUUGUAUUGUUUUGGUCUAUAUGAAUUUAAGUUUUGUUGCUAUUCUGUGUAAUUUUAUAUAGUGUCUGCCUUCUGCUCUCCUUUUGGGUCAUUUAAAGUGUGAACGUUCGAGAGUCGUGUGAUGCAUUUUAUUGCCUGCCUGUUCCUAUCUUCUUGUGUGUCAUCCCCCAAGCAAACCUUUGAAGUAUGGGCCUGUUCCGACACUCUGGCUAGCGUAAACAAAGUCAGAGAGUUACAUGGCACGGCCGCCGACCCCACCUUAGCCUCGGGGGGGGAGCUUCAACUGUAAAGAUAACAAUCUGGUGAACAAAGACUUUUAGUAUUGGGGGACCACCCCCUUCAGGACCCAAACGAAGUGAAUAAAAACUCAUUGAUUGGAAGACUCAGUGGACUUCUGCAGCGUACCUUCAGAGAGUGAAGUAACACGCAAAGAGAAGCUCCCAUCUGAGGCCUCAGAUUAUUGUAAUGUAUGCCUGUUGUGUUGUUUGUUGAUGCAUGUUGUGAUGUAUCUUUGUUCGUACUUUUAUUACAAAUAUAUGUAUAUAAUAUACUAAUUGUCAACAAGUAUUGUGGGCUUUUUUGCAUCUAAAGAUCUCAUCUGUCUCAGACGCAAUAUCUAAUAGAGAAAUUGUCACGACAGUUGGGGGCUCGUCCGGGAUAUCUAACCUGAAGAUUCUACGAAAUAUCGCUCCAAAACAGGUCCGAGUCGGACUCGGUCCCAAAGCUCUACCCCGCCUCCAGGUGACUGUAACCAGACUAAUGGGGUCGAGGAGAGAGUGCCUGUGGGGGAUAAACUAGUGGUUCUUCAGUACGGUAUUCAAAAGGAAAAAGAAUUCGAGCAGGUGAGAUCAAAAUACUUGUUUAAGCUACAAUAAAUCCGUUACGAAAACGGUAUAUACUGUUUUGGGAACGUAUAUUCGAACAAAUCGGCCACGAUUCGAACUUUGUUAUAGGAACAUACGGUAAAGCAACUCCGGUAAAGUUCCGUCAAUAUAUAUAUGGUAUAUAUAUGUAACAGAAAGGUCAGGAGGGUCUGUCAAAACAGUAAAGGGAAACCCGUUAAGCGCUGUUGGGGUCAUAUAUAAAUAAAUAAUAAUAAUAGGCAUUCAUUAAUAAAUAUAUGUAUAUGUGUGUAGUAACAAGAAGGUUUCGGCGAUAUUAGAUAAUUUGUUAAAUAAUAACUAGUGUAAAAGGAUCUAAAAUAUGGGGAACAAAUCUGGAAAAACGGAGAUAACGGGACCUGCGAAGGUGAUGUUGGAGAAGCAUGGUGAAGCGGCUCUGGAGGGUUUAAAAUAUUGGUGCAAACUGGGCUUUCCUGAAAUGGGGAGUUUUAGCUUAAAACGGUUGUUGAAGUUUUAAUUAUGUUGGUGUGCAUUUCAUUUGAGGGAAAGAGAGAGCCAGGAUAUAGAAAAAAUAAAUAAUAAUCAGCCAGGGACAGAGAGCGUAGAGAGUGUAGGAAUAUUUUUAUCUCAAUUUCACCCGAGAUGUAGACCCGGACCUGGACUGCAGUCCGGCGGACCGCGUGCGAAUCCCCCUUCACCUCCACCGUAUGACGACAACGCCCAGGCCGCCGCCCCAUCAACCUCUAUCCAGACCUCACUGCAAAGGAGGCACCCGCUAACAGCGCAACAGGGGUUAUGGCAGUCCGGCAUACGUUUUCCGUGCAUGGAGACCCAGUGACAUUAAGGACAUAGCAGAAUGUCUCCCGGACCCAUCUGCAGUGGGAGGGGAAUCCCUCGCUACAGCCAGUCUGGAAAUGGCCCAUCACCCAUCGGCGAACCACGCCAAGUCAAACUGGGCCUACGGUGGGGUCGUAUUCAAGGCGACAUUCCCGGGAGAGACCAAGCUGAUAUUAUGUUCGUGGAGGCGCCGGACGGCAAGGACGACCACAGGAAAGUGGGGAAGCACAGAGGCAGGCCUGCUUUCGUUGAGGCGUCAUGGAUCCUUGGUUCAACGAUUCUCCCAAAAGAAUCGACAAAGACAAUGGAAGGGCCGGCUGGCAGUUCGCACCUUCCCGUGAAGUGACUGUGAAUCAUCCAAGAGGCGGAGGUGGAAGGGGGCAUUCGCAUUGACGGGACGCGGGAGCAGACCAGGUCCAAGUAGCAGGUAUGAGCACCAUAACACAUAACACAACCAACCAAAUAUUUAUUAUAUAUGGUUCCCACCAGCCUUACGCGACCUGAUCAGCUAAAUGUAAUAUUAUAUAUGGUUAUUAUAUAUAUUUAUUAUAUAUGGUUAUAGUAAACAACGGGCUAUUGUAGACAGUGGAUACUCGAUUAUUACAAUCUAACACAGCCAUGACCACCCCGACUGACCCAGACUAACCCCGACUGACCCCCGACUAACAACGUGACGGGGACAACAGAAGUGUAUUGCCUAAUAUUGAAAAUGCAGAUUUUUAUAUUAUGAUAUUUUGUUAAUGUUUUAUGGCCAAAUGGCAAGAAGGUGAAUUAAUGAACGUAUGAGAGAGAUUGGAAGAAGUAUGUGUUAUGGAAGGAGAAGAGAUAGAUGAGAACGGAAGGCAAGACAAGAUAAGGAAAGGGGUGGGGAGAAAGAUAACCCAUCUGCAUCAAGUUUUGUUCAAAUAGAUCCGGACCUGGACAACGCUCCUCCUUCUCCUGCUUUCAGCCCGACCAGUGGCCCAAUACAGUGCAAAUACCCCACGUCACGACUCCUCUUCAUCAGACUUUAUGAAGUUACAGACCAUGGGAGGCCCACCUGAAGAGCUACGGAACGGUCUGCUGGACGACACAAGGAGACAGUCCAGCAGGACCAACAGCACCAGAGUGGUGGCCUCCAUGGUGCCUGUGUAGCCACAAGGAAGUGGCCUGAACAUUGAGACAAAGGAGGGUCUCAGAGACGGGAGAGAUGUGGGGACAGGCACUUCAAAGGACAGCCCGGGAUGCGGAUGAGAGGCAGGAAGCAGAGAGAGAGGUGGAGGCGUGUCCAGGCGGAGGGAGAGAAGAGCAGUGUACGGAAAGUAUCGCACUAGACACAGCAUUCACGUAUAUUACAAGAGACGAGAUCUAAUGUGUAACUAGGACUGUCUAUAUGAGUGUGUGAUAGUUUCUAAGAAGUAUAUCUGAAAGGUUUGAAAGUUAUUAGGAAAAGUAGUUUGAAGGAUCAAAGACAAGUAGAAAAGUUGAAAGUUAAAGAAAUGUUUUUAAAAAAGGUAGCCUUGUUUCUUAGUUUUAGUUUAUUUUUGGUUUUUAUUUUUUUAUGACUUUUGAAUAUAUGGAAACAGAUGACUUGAUUGUGAUGUUAGGUGAUUUUAUGCUACCUUCUGUAAAAGCGAACGGUGGUAUAAAUAUCUGUACUUGGAGGCCAUGGUUGGACAUAGUAGAUUAUGAACAUAUGCAUGUUUUGAUUAAGUGAUCAUUUUAAUCCUAAAGGUUGCAUCAUUUUGUGAUUAUAAAUAAUCAAAGGGGGGAUUGUGAUGGAAAAUGUACAUGUUGUAUUGUUUUGGUCUAUAUGAAUUUAAGUUUUGUUGCUAUUCUGUGUAAUUUUAUAUAGUGUCUGCCUUCUGCUCUCCUUUUGGGUCAUUUAAAGUGUGAACGUUCGAGAGUCGUGUGAUGCAUUUUAUUGCCUGCCUGUUCCUAUCUUCUUGUGUGUCAUCCCCCAAGCAAACCUUUGAAGUAUGGGCCUGUUCCGACACUCUGGCUAGCGUAAACAAAGUCAGAGAGUUACAUGGCACGGCCGCCGACCCCACCUUAGCCUCGGGGGGGGGAGCUUCAACUGUAAAGAUAACAAUCUGGUGAACAAAGACUUUUAGUAUUGGGGGACCACCCCCUUCAGGACCCAAACGAAGUGAAUAAAAACUCAUUGAUUGGAAGACUCAGUGGACUUCUGCAGCGUACCUUCAGAGAGUGAAGUAACACGCAAAGAGAAGCUCCCAUCUGAGGCCUCAGAUUAUUGUAAUGUAUGCCUGUUGUGUUGUUUGUUGAUGCAUGUUGUGAUGUAUCUUUGUUCAUACUUUUAUUACAAAUAUAUGACCACUAAUUGUCAACAAGUAUUGUGUGCUUUUUUGCAUCUAAAGAUCUCAUCUGUCUCAGACGCAAUAUCUAAUAGAGAAAUUGUCACGACACAUCACAACAGUGACAGGAAGCAGGCUGAAGGAAGGAGGCUGUGGGAACUCCAGGGUUGUGACAGCAUCUGGUUGCAGCAGCGGCCAUGGCAGCCUGCGGUCUCCCCCGACAACAAGUCCAACACAAUGGAGUGUUUAUGGGGAGCUGUGCCGCCCCAGAGGGACUAAGCAGCUCAAUUAAAACAACACUCAACCUUCUGUGGUUGUGGUAUUAAUCUCCACCAGGGCAACCCAAAAACGAGGAUUUGAAGGGUGGGGGCCCUUGGCACAAGGGGGACGCAUGGUUCCGUGUGUGCUUGUGCGUUUGGGAUGUGUGUGCGCACCUAUGUGUGUUUGUAUUUGGAUAUAUCUGUGAAAACAAAUCCAUCACAUAAAAGUGUUCUUUCUUUGUUAA